This is a long non-coding RNA of Mizuhopecten yessoensis (Yesso scallop), 1735 nucleotides long. RefSeq lists it as uncharacterized. NCBI's taxonomy places the organism in Eukaryota, Metazoa, Mollusca, Bivalvia, Pectinida, Pectinidae. The record is from RefSeq and is a predicted model, not a curated record. The transcript has 2 exons.
UAUAUAUAUAUACAUUCUCACACUAUAUACAUACAUGUGUCCCAUACAGUGAACUUACCAUAUAUAUAUAGUUCCCCGUUACCUGUAGUACUCACAUCUAAAAUAAUUCCUCAUUACCUGUACAGUGUCACUCCCUGUACACAGUUUAUAUACAAUGCCAUUCCUCGUACAGAUCGAGAAAAUAAUCAAAACCCGUUUCUAUGGGUGACGAUUUGUUUACCUCAACAGGAGGCAGUAACCUGAAUCAGAAAUAACACAUGUAAAACUCAAAAAAGGAGUAAAACAAAAUGCAACACAUCUGAAAAGAAUAUCAAGAUUCUCCUUGGUCCACUGGUCAUUUGUGUCAGACAGCAACACAAGCUACAGGAAGAUAUUGUCCCUAUCUAGAACAUCUUGUGCAAGACAUAUGGUCAAAGGGAGGCAACUCACAAUACCUUUGCGUCUCCAACAUGGCAUAUUUUUAUGUACAGUUAACUUAAAGAAAAGAUAACAGAUUAUUAUCUAUGUUGAUAUUUGGUGAUAUGAUCAUAUCUCUUGUUUAAGAGCAGUAAGAUAAGUGAUGUGAACCAAUGUAGAUGACUAAAAACAUUGCUAAAGCACCUGGUACAUUGUAUUGUGUAUUAAUAUCACAAUUAAUCAAGGUAACAGUUACUUUGUAGCUAAAUGACAAUGUAUUACUACUUAACAAAAUGACAUCAUGUAUUACAAGGUAACAGUUACUUUGUAUCUAAAUGACAAUGUAUUACUACUUAGCAAUAUGACAUCAUGUAUUAUAAGGUAACAGUUACUUUGUAUCUAAAUGACAAUGUAUUACUACUAAGCAAUAUGACAUCAUGUAUUACAAGGUAACAGUUACUUUGUAGCUAAAUGACAAUGUAUUACUACUUAACAAAAUGACAUCAUGUAUUACAAGGUAACAGUUACUUUGUAUCUAAAUGACAAUGUAUUACUACUUAGCAAUAUGACAUCAUGUAUUACAAGGUAACAGUUACUUUGUAGCUAAAUGACAAUGUAUUACUACUUAGCAGUAUGACAUCAUGUUUUACGAGGUAACAGUUACUUUGUAGCUAAAUGACAAUGUAUUACUACUUAGCAAUAUGAUAUCAUGUAUUACAAGGUAACAGUUACUUUGUAUCUAAAUGACAAUGUAUUACUACUUAGCAAUAUGACAUCAUGUAUUACAAGGCACCAGUAUGACAAAUACUAAAAGAGCACUAUAUUAAAGCAACAUGUUUUCAUCACAUACAUUAAUUUCAUUAAAAUGAAUUUAUCAACAAUAUAUCAGAAUUCUUAGGGUGAAAAAUGAUGUAUGAAAUUCUCUAUUUUACACAAGAACAUAUAACAUCCACACUUGCUUCUAUCUAUUUCUCUCCAUUUGUAAAUGCUCAUACUCGAUGCAUAGUCACAAUAGUGUAAACAUGAAAAGCCUAUAUAAACAUGUGGAAUACAUGUACUUGUGUUAUAUAUGAAAUAUGAGUAUUGAUUUCUGAUAAAUAUAAUAUAUACAAUCUGGACUACAUUUAUAGGAUAUAGGCAAGGCAGAAAUUCAUCUGAAAAAGCUGCUGCUGUUUUUAAUAAGUCACGUGAUUUGAUUUAAAACCCAUCAGCAGACAGCUAACACAACUAAUAUACAUAUUUAUACACAACCUUACACACUAUUCCACCCAUAACAUGUUCUUUUACACUCAAAACACACUAUUCUAAACCGUAACACCCUAAGACUCGCUCUAAAUCC